Molecule: transfer RNA, 71 nt
Filed under: Loxodonta africana (African savanna elephant)
Lineage: Eukaryota; Metazoa; Chordata; Mammalia; Proboscidea; Elephantidae
Rfam family: tRNA
About the family: Transfer RNA (tRNA) molecules are approximately 80 nucleotides in length. Their secondary structure includes four short double-helical elements and three loops (D, anti-codon, and T loops).
Source: Rfam by way of RNAcentral
GUAUUGGUGGUUCAGUGAUAGAAUUUGAGCCUUCCAUGUGGAAGACAUGGGUUCAAUUCCCAGCCAGUGCA